Molecule: ribosomal RNA, 253 nt
Filed under: uncultured bacterium
Lineage: Bacteria
Description: partial 16S ribosomal RNA
Rfam family: Bacterial small subunit ribosomal RNA
Source: RNAcentral
UACGAAGGGGGCUAGCGUUGCUCGGAAUCACUGGGCGUAAAGGGUGCGUAGGCGGUUUUGUAAGUCUUGUGUGAAAUCUUCAGGCUCAACUUGAAGACUGCACGAGAAACUGCAGGGCUUGAGUGUGGGAGAGGUGAGUGGAAUUCCUAGUGUAGCGGUGAAAUGCGUAGAUAUCAGGAGGAACACCUGUGGCGAAAGCGGCUCACUGGACCACAACUGACGCUGAUGCACGAAAGCUAGGGGAGCAAACAGG